This 468-nucleotide ribosomal RNA is filed under the name uncultured bacterium. RNAcentral describes it as "partial 16S ribosomal RNA". It matches the Rfam family "Bacterial small subunit ribosomal RNA", at positions 28 to 507 of the family's 1533-position model. The record is from RNAcentral.
GAUGAACGCUGGCGGCGUGCUUAACACAUGCCAGUCGAACGGAAAGGCCCAAGCUUGCUUGGGUACUCGAGUGGCGAACGGGUGAGUAACACGUGGGUGAUCUGCCCUGCACUUCGGGAUAAGCCUGGGAAACUGGGUCUAAUACCGGAUAGGACGAUGGUUUGGAUGCCAUUGUGGAAAGUUUUUUCGGUGUGGGAUGAGCUCGCGGCCUAUCAGCUUGUUGGUGGGGUAAUGGCCUACCAAGGCGUCGACGGGUAGCCGGCCUGAGAGGGUGUACGGCCACAUUGGGACUGAGAUACGGCCCAGACUCCUACGGGAGGCAGCAGUGGGGAAUAUUGCACAAUGGGCGCAGGCCUGAUGCAGCGACGCCGCGUGGGGGAUGACGGCCUUCGGGUUGUAAACUCCUUUCGCUAGGGACGAAGCGUUUUUGUGACGGUACCUGGAGAAGAAGCACCGGCUAACUACGUG